This 597-nucleotide ribosomal RNA is filed under the name Chlamydocillium curvulum. RNAcentral's name for it is "eukaryotic LSU rRNA". It matches the Rfam family "Eukaryotic large subunit ribosomal RNA", at positions 36 to 656 of the family's 3401-position model. The record is from RNAcentral. Lineage: Eukaryota; Fungi; Ascomycota; Sordariomycetes; Hypocreales.
AAGCAUAUCAAUAAGCGGAGGAAAAGAAACAACAGGGAUUGCCUCAGUAACGGCGAGUGAAGCGGCAACAGCUCAAAUUUGAAAUCUGGCCCUUGGGUCCGAAUUGUAAUUUGCAGAGGAUGCUUUUGGCGAGGUGCCUUCCGAGUUCCCUGGAACGGGACGCCACAGAGGGUGAGAGCCCCGUCCGGAUGUGCCACCAAGCCUCUGUAAAGCUCCUUCGACGAGUCGAGUAGUUUGGGAAUGCUGCUCUAAAUGGGAGGUGUAUGUCUUCUAAAGCUAAAUACCGGCCAGAGACCGAUAGCGCACAAGUAGAGUGAUCGAAAGAUGAAAAGUACUCUGAAGAGAGAGUUAAAUAGCACGUGAAAUUGUUGAAGGGGAAGCGUUUAUGACCAGACUUGGGGCUGGCCGAUCAUCCAGGGUUCUCUCUGGUGCACUCGCCAGUCUUAGGCCAGCAUCAGUUUGCGCCGGGGGAUAAAGGCUUCGGGAACGUAGCUCCUCUCGGGGAGUGUUAUAGACCGUUGCGUAAUACCCUGGUGCGGACUGAGGAACGCGCUUCGGCACGGAUGCUGGCGUAAUGGUCAUCAACGACCCGUCUUG